CAGCCGCCGCGGUAAUACGAGGGGGGCAAGCGUUGUUCGGAAUUAUUGGGCGUAAAGGGUGCGUAGGCGGUUCAGCAAGACUCGUGUGAAAUCUUCUGGCUCAACCCGAAGUCUGCACGGGAAACUACUGGGCUUGAGUAAUGGAGAGGUGAGUGGAAUUUCCGGUGUAGCGGUGAAAUGCGUAGAUAUCGGAAGGAACACCUGUGGCGAAAGCGGCUCACUGGACAUUUACUGACGCUGAUGCACGAAAGCUAGGGGAGCAAACAGGAUUAGAUACCCCUGUAGUCCCUGUCCUUAUACA
Molecule: ribosomal RNA, 301 nt
Filed under: uncultured bacterium
Lineage: Bacteria
Description: partial 16S ribosomal RNA
Rfam family: Bacterial small subunit ribosomal RNA
Source: RNAcentral